This 63-nucleotide transfer RNA is filed under the name Pyrops viridirostris. RNAcentral describes it as "tRNA-Tyr". Lineage: Eukaryota; Metazoa; Arthropoda; Insecta; Hemiptera; Fulgoridae. The record is from RNAcentral.
AAUGGGAUGGCCGAUUUAGGUGAUAAAUUGUAAAUUUAUUUAAGGAUUUACUUCCUCUCAUUA